RNAcentral lists this ribosomal RNA (497 nucleotides) under uncultured bacterium. RNAcentral describes it as "partial 16S ribosomal RNA". It matches the Rfam family "Bacterial small subunit ribosomal RNA", at positions 28 to 507 of the family's 1533-position model. The record is from RNAcentral.
GACGAACGCUGGCGGCGUGCCUAAUACAUGCAAGUUGAGCGCUGAAGGUUGGUACUUGUACCAACUGGAUGAGCAGCGAACGGGUGAGUAACGCGUGGGGAAUCUGCCUUUGAGCGGGGGACAACAUUUGGAAACGAAUGCUAAUACCGCAUAAAAACUUUAAACACAAGUUUUAAGUUUGAAAGAUGCAAUUGCAUCACUCAAAGAUGAUCCCGCGUUGUAUUAGCUAGUUGGUGAGGUAAAGGCUCACCAAGGCGAUGUUACAUAGCCGACCUGAGAGGGUGAUCGGCCACAUUGGGACUGGGACACGGCCCAAACUCCUACGGGAGGCAGCAGUAGGGAAUCUUCGGCAAUAGACGAAAGUCUGACCGAGCAACGCCGCGUGAGUGAAGAAGGUUUUCGGAUCGUAAAACUCUGUUGGUAGGGAAGAACGUUGGUGAGAGUGGAAAGCUCAUCAAGUGACGGUAACUACCCAGAAAGGGACGGCUAACUACGUG